UACGUAGGGUGCAAGCGUUGUCCGGAAUUAUUGGGCGUAAAGAGCUCGUAGGCGGUUUGGCGCGUCUGCUGUGAAAACUCGGGGCUCAACUCCGAGCUUGCAGUGGGUACGGGCAGACUAGAGUGCGGUAGGGGAGAGUGGAAUUCCUGGUGUAGCGGUGGAAUGCGCAGAUAUCAGGAGGAACACCGGUGGCGAAGGCGGGUCUCUGGGCCGUAACUGACGCUGAGGCGCGAAAGCAUGGGGAGCGAACAGG
RNAcentral lists this ribosomal RNA (253 nucleotides) under uncultured bacterium. RNAcentral's name for it is "partial 16S ribosomal RNA". It matches the Rfam family "Bacterial small subunit ribosomal RNA", at positions 524 to 776 of the family's 1533-position model. The record is from RNAcentral.